This 872-nucleotide long non-coding RNA is filed under the name Marmota monax (woodchuck). The record is from RNAcentral. Lineage: Eukaryota; Metazoa; Chordata; Mammalia; Rodentia; Sciuridae.
GUCCAGGCCUUCACCUCCCAUUCCGACCCUUCACAAGAAUGGCGAGAACCUACUGGGCCAGCCCGAAGCCAGGCCCAGGGGGUUCCUUGCCCCUUCCCAGCAGAUGGGGAGAGAGGAAAGGCCUUGGCCCGCAGGGUUCAGAGUCACACUGCUUGGUCAAGGAGAGAUGGAAUUUGCAAAGGAGCCAGGUGCGGGGCAUGGUGGAAGGGACAGGAGAGGGAUGAGCAGGAAAGAGAGGAGACUCCUGCCCAGGGAAAAGGGCUUGAACUCUGUCCAGUGGGUGGUGCGCAGCUCACCUGAGCCACAAAUCAAGAUCAAACAGGAAACAUCAAUAACUCGGGGGGAGGACAUCUCCCCAAUAUAGAAUGUUCCAUGGGGAUGGGGGGAAGGGCUUCUAUACUUUAUAGGUCAUCCCCUUUAGUUGUUUUGGUUUUAUAUGUGUUUUGCAACACUGCAUAAUUUUUUUCAAAUAAAUAUGCAGCAUAUGGUGGGUAUGCAUCACAGAUGUUCUUAUUGAUGCAGUAAUGAGAAAGCCACAAGCACACAAUGGUGAGGGAUGGCAGGAGACAGGUGCAGGAGCCCAGUUCCAGGGCAGCAGGCUGCAGGUGCCUAAGGGAGCUUGCUGGGGCUGACCCAGGCUUCUGCACUGGGGAUAAGUGCCCAGGGGCACUGUAUCAGGGCAGGUAUCCUACCUACCCGUGGCCGCUCUUUGCCCCUGCUGUGGUCCUAGGCCUACGGUCUGCAUUCUCCAACUAACUCCGCAUUCAGAAGCUAUGACUGCAUCAGAAAAGGAAAGGAUCCUGGCAAUGAGUGGCCUGCUUGACCACCAUGGGCAAAGUGGCAGCCAAAAGGCCUGUUCACCACAUUCUUCC